CACACCGCCCGUCACGCCGUGGGAGUUGGUUUCACCCGAAGGUGGUGCGCUAACCUAGCAAUAGGAGGCAGCCAACCACGGUGGGAUCAGCGACUGGGGUG
Molecule: ribosomal RNA, 101 nt
Filed under: uncultured bacterium
Lineage: Bacteria
Description: partial 16S ribosomal RNA
Rfam family: Bacterial small subunit ribosomal RNA
Source: RNAcentral